UACGGAGGGGGCUAGCGUUGUUCGGAAUUACUGGGCGUAAAGCGCAUGUAGGCGGCUUUGUAAGUUAGAGGUGAAAGCCCAGAGCUCAACUCUGGAACUGCCUUUAAGACUGCAUCGCUUGAAUUGUGGAGAGGUAAGUGGAAUUCCGAGUGUAGAGGUGAAAUUCGUAGAUAUUCGGAAGAACACCAGUGGCGAAGGCGACUUACUGGACACAUAUUGACGCUGAUGUGCGAAAGCGUGGGGAGCAAACAGG
RNAcentral lists this ribosomal RNA (253 nucleotides) under uncultured bacterium. Its description in RNAcentral is "partial 16S ribosomal RNA". It matches the Rfam family "Bacterial small subunit ribosomal RNA", at positions 524 to 776 of the family's 1533-position model. The record is from RNAcentral.